AGAGUGUAAACCUCUAUGCUGCAGGUAGAGGUGAUAAAGAAAGCAUAUCAGCAAGGAGAGACAGACUUUGAUGAUGAUGAGGAGAACGCAGAAGAACAUGCUGCUUCACCUCGGAAUGUCGGCCACAACAUCUACAUUCUUGCACAUCAGCUGUCUCGUCACAAUAAGGAGCUGCAGGUGCUGCUGAAGCCAACAGGAGACGAUCAGGCUCUAGAGUUUUACACAGAACACACGGCACAGAUUGAGAUUGUCCGUCAGGACCGCACCAUGGAGCAGAUUGUGUUUCCGGUCCCUCAUAUCUGCUCAUUCCUGACGAACGAGUCAAAGCUCCGUGUGUAUUAUAGCACAGAGCGAGAUGAGCAGGGCAGCAAAAUCAACGACUUCUUCCUCAGAGCAGACGAUCUUUACAGCGAGAUGAGGUGGCAGAAAAAACUUCGAGCUCAGCCCGUGUUGUAUUGGUGCAGUAGGAACAUGUCGUUCUGGAGUAACGUGUCAUUUAACCUGGCCGUGCUGAUUAACGUGUUGGUGGCGUUUUUCUACCCAUUGGAAAGCGUGAGCGAUAGUCACUUGGAGCCCUCAGUGUCUCUGUUAUUGUGGGGGUGUGUGUUGGGUUCAUUGGUCUUUGUUUUACUGUGGCCCAGUCCGAAUGCAGUGAGGGUUCUCGUUAUCUCCUCUGUCCUGCGCCUUGGCUUCUCAUUAGGUCUCCAUCACAUGCUUUCCCUACUGGGAGCCUUUAACGUGUGUAAUAAGAUUGUGUUCCUGUUGAGCUUUGUGGGAAACAGAGGGACGUUUACUCGUGGUUACAGAGCAAUGGUGAUGGACAGAGAGUUCCUCUUUCACCUGCUUUAUCUUCUUAUCUGUACACUGGGUCUUUUUGGACACGUCUUCUUCUACAGCUUACUGUUGUUUGACCUGGUGAACAGAGAGGAAACGUUGCUGAACGUGAUUAAAAGUGUGACGAGAAAUGGUCGCUCCAUCGUCCUCACUGCUGUCCUGGGUCUCAUCCUGGUUUAUCUCUUCUCCAUUGUGGGCUACAUCUUCUUCAAAGACGACUUUAUACUGGAGGUGGACCGUAUCACUAACACUUCUCUGGAGGAGGAGGUGAAUCAGGUGAACACUUUCCUGCCCGAGGGUUCAUGUGUGUUAGAGAAUGGGAUGUGUGUAUCGAUGGAUUCAGAAGAAGAAGAAGUUGAGAGAGCGUGUGAUUCUUUGUGGAUGUGUAUGAUCACUGUUCUGAGUCACGGCCUGAGGAGUGGAGGAGGAGUUGGAGACGUCCUGCGCAAACCUUCUAAAGAGGAGCCUCUGUUUGCUGCGAGAGUGAUUUAUGACCUGUUGUUCUUCUUCCUCGUUAUCAUCAUCGUGUUGAAUUUGAUCUUUGGUGUCAUCAUCGACACAUUUGCUGACCUCAGGAGUGAAAAACAAAGAAAAGAAGAAGUGCUAAAGACCACCUGUUUUAUAUGUGGGUUGGAAAGAGAUAAGUUUGACAACAAGACGGUGACAUUUGAGGAGCACAUUAAAGAGGAACACAACCUCUGGCACUACCUUUACUUCAUCGUGCUGGUGCGAGUGAAAGACUCGACGGAGUACACUGGGCCCGAGAGCUACGUCGCUCAGAUGAUUAAGACAGGAACACAAUCUGGACUGGUUCCCCCGGAUGAGAGCAAUGUCUCUGGUCAGCAGCGAUUCAGAAGGAGAGCAAAAUGAACUUCGCUCCCUGCAGGACAAACUCGACUCCACCAUGAGACUCGUCACCAACCUGACCAAUCAGCUCACAGAGCUCAAAGAGCAGAUGACUGAGCAAAGGAAGCACAAGCAGCGGAUUGGACUACUGGGAAACCCCGCCCACCUUAAUAUAAACCCACAGCAGCCUGCCUGAGGAUGUGUGUGUGUGUGUGUGUGUGUGUCUCUUUUAAACCAUAAUUCUGUUCUUCGUGCUAAACCUCGUCAUGAGAACCAUGCAGAUGUGAAAGAUCAGAGUUACAGCUGCAUUUCUAAACAACCUGCAGUACACUGAUGUUUAUGCAGGAGGAGAACGUUGAAGAUGAAGAUGAUGAAGGGUAUGUGAGCAUCUCUGAGCUGAAAUGUGAAAUCAUGACUGAAAGGUUAAAGUUUGUGUGUCAAUAAAGAGGCUCACUGGAGAGAGAGUGUGUGUGUGUGUGUGUGUGUGUGUGUGUGUGUGUGUGUGUGUGUGUGUGUGUGUGUGUGUGUGUGUGUGAUCUCACUCUGCUUUCUCCUGACUCAUGUAGAACUUUGCAGAUAUUUCACUUGGACACUGUAAUGAACCUGAUUGAGGUUUUGCACUGGUUUUAUCACUUAGUGUUAAUGACAUGAGUGUAAUUUUAGUGAUGUUUAAUUUGAUUAAAAUGAUUUAUCUGUGUGUGUGUGUGUGUGUGUGUGUGUGUGUUGUAGAACACCAGAAUCUUUCCAUCAGUAAGCGUGUAAACAGUUAAAUCAUAUUAUAUAAAUGAUCUGAUGCUUACGCUGUUUCAGUGAAGCGUCACGUGUUUGUUAGAAACUUUUUAUUCUCAUGUUGUAAUAAAUUUUAUCUUAAACACAAAAAAAACUAAAACAGUUUACGCUUCACAUGGGUUUCACUUUAUCAAGAGCGAUGAAGUUUUGUGCGUUUAACACCAAUGAUGUACAAAAUAAGAGAAAACUAACAAUAAAUACCAAUGAGAAAUGUGUAGACUGCA
This is an RNA transcript of Silurus meridionalis, 2693 nucleotides long. It is a transcript of the gene named inositol 1,4,5-trisphosphate receptor type 1-like, with no coding region annotated. The record is from RefSeq and is a predicted model, not a curated record. Lineage: Eukaryota; Metazoa; Chordata; Actinopteri; Siluriformes; Siluridae. The transcript is spliced from 13 exons.